Molecule: long non-coding RNA, 988 nt
Organism: Chanos chanos (milkfish)
Lineage: Eukaryota; Metazoa; Chordata; Actinopteri; Gonorynchiformes; Chanidae
Exons: 3
Source: RefSeq, a predicted model, not a curated record
UGAUGUUGGUGAGGAGGAAGAUGAGGAAGAUGAUGGAGAAGGUGAUGAUGAUGAUGACGAUGAUGAGGCUGAAGGAGGAACAGGCAAACGGGCAGCUGAAGAUGAUGAUGAUGAGGAUGAUGUUGGAACUAAGAAGCAAAAAACAGAUGAUUAGAAGACAACCCUGCUGAAGCUCCUCCCAGAUCUCCUCUCCUCAAUCUGUCCAUUGGAGGAAAGAAUAAAAAAUAUAAUGUGGUCAUCAUCAAGUAGAGUCCAGCGUCCGUGUACACACACACACACCCAACUGCAAAUUUUCUAGAAACAACCAAGACUUCAAAGCUCUACCUUCUUACAAAAUACUUUAAAAGGAGAAUUUGUUUGUAUUUUUAUUUACAUUUUAUAUUUUUGUACAUAUUGUUAGGAGGUCAGCCAUUUUUGACAGUGAUCUCUGGUUACCAAACGGUGCUUUGAAGUUGAAGCUUCUCUAUGAAAUAGACUUUACUUGUGGUUUGACCAUGUCAUGUUAUCUCAACUGAAACUUGUAAAAAAAAAAAAAAUCAAAAACCGUUUAAUUCAAAGCAUUCCAGUAACUUUGUGUAUGUACUUUAGUUGUACCAUAAGUAGUUGGUUUGUAUGAGAUGGCAAAAGGCCAAAGAAAAGAGCAUUUUCUUUUCUUGAUUGUCUAUUAAAUUGCUGUCUGUUGUGGCCUGUUCGAUGUAUGUGUGAAGUUUGUUGUACGACAAUAAACCGGAAUUUUAUUUUGUGCGUUCUUACAUUUUUUUCCCGGAUUUUUUGUUUUCAUCUUUUUUUUUUGUUCACUUUUGACUUUUUUAGAUGGGAUUUUACACGCUGAAGAAACCUCGACCAUUUUACCAUGCAACUUUAUGGGCUCUUGUCAUUAUGAGAGGGCCCUUCACAGAUAUGCUGUUCACAUAUUUUAUUAGCCUGUUAGAGAGGAAUGUACACACCAAUGUAAAUUAUUCAUGCCUUAACACUUCAAGUUCUGGUA